Molecule: unclassified non-coding RNA, 238 nt
Filed under: Melitaea cinxia (Glanville fritillary)
Lineage: Eukaryota; Metazoa; Arthropoda; Insecta; Lepidoptera; Nymphalidae
Description: misc RNA ENSMCXG00005013839.1
Source: RNAcentral
AUUGAUUCAAGAGGAAGAUUUAUAUGUAUAAUAACAUCCAUUAAAUAGUGGAGAAAUACUGUUAUUUUUGAGUUUUGUAAUGUUAUGUCGUAAAUAAUAAUUUUUUUUUCGCUUAAAUUGCAAACGCAGGCUGAACCCUACGAGAUUUAUCAAAAUAAUGUACUAAGUAUUGUACACAUUGAAAAGUUCUACAGAAAGCUCCGCUAUGGUAUAUGUCUAUCUCUUAUGGAUAUCCCAC